GAAAAGCUAGCCUUUCUCUCUGCUGCAUGCCUCUUAGUACUCGGAGGAUUCCUGGGACUGGAAGGCAGGACACUGGGUAGGGAUCUCAGUUUCAGGCCUAUCUUUGUAACUGACUUGUGGAGGGUCCUUUUCUCUGGAGGGCUUUAGUUUCCAUAUUUUUGGAAUGGGAUUCUUCUUUCAGGGGUAGGUCAAUCUUUGACAUUCUGGCCCUGAUCUUUCAAAACUCAGUUGCCUGAACUGAGAGGUGGCAGCAAUCCCAUGCUUCUGGCUACUUGGUCUCCAAGGUCAUCUCUCACAACAUGGUCUCCAUACAAGCAGUUGCUUCAAAGAUUAAAGGCCUCUCUGCUGAGAUCUUCUUACAAAUCCUCUGAUCCACUCCUUUCCACCCUGCCUGCCAACCCAGGGUUCAAAUGGACACAUGCAGGCAUGCACACAUGCACCGCACCAACCAGCUGACCUCCUAACUGCUCACCACCACCUCUGAGCCAAAGAUUGGCGCUGAGUUGAAGUCCUGAGGAAAGGGUCAGGAAGAUGAGGAGCACAUCUCAGGCAGACUUCCACCAGCAGCGGCAGGGAAAUUGCACAGACACAAAGAAAUGGGAAAACGGAGAGAAAUUGAGGGAGAGACAUCUACCCCAUUUUUUCAUUUGAUUCAAUGCCUAGUUUUAUUUGGCUCUAUUUCAAACUUGGUUCUUUUAAAAAUACUGUAUUCUUUUGUUUUUAAUAAUUUAAAACUAAUUUGUUGAAUUAUCUAAAGUUGUUAGUUGCCCCAAACUAAGAGGCUGCCAAAGUAUUAGCAUCUGCUUGCUGUUCUGACAUUCACAACUUAAUUUAUUUGGCUCCUGAAAAUUUCCCUUACAUUAUGGAGAGGUUAACUAUGUAAAUAAAGAGAAGUAUGUCAGAUUUUA
Myotis lucifugus (little brown bat) is the source of this 908-nucleotide long non-coding RNA. RefSeq lists it as uncharacterized. Lineage: Eukaryota; Metazoa; Chordata; Mammalia; Chiroptera; Vespertilionidae. The record is from RefSeq and is a predicted model, not a curated record. The transcript has 2 exons.